Transfer RNA from Ovis aries (sheep), 73 nucleotides. It matches the Rfam family "tRNA". Rfam says of the family: Transfer RNA (tRNA) molecules are approximately 80 nucleotides in length. Their secondary structure includes four short double-helical elements and three loops (D, anti-codon, and T loops). The record is from Rfam. NCBI's taxonomy places the organism in Eukaryota, Metazoa, Chordata, Mammalia, Artiodactyla, Bovidae.
UCCCUGGUGGUCCAGUGGCUAAGACUCUGUCCUCCUAACGCAGGGGGUCUGGGUUCGAUUCCUGGUCAGGGAA